Myodes glareolus (Bank vole) is the source of this 1339-nucleotide non-coding RNA. NCBI's taxonomy places the organism in Eukaryota, Metazoa, Chordata, Mammalia, Rodentia, Cricetidae. The record is from RefSeq and is a predicted model, not a curated record.
GCUCUCCAUACGGAUACUAGGGAUCAAGCUCAGAAUACAAAUUCCCAAUAGCAAACACAAUAUGGACUGAGACAUUUGCUUGUUCCAUACACUUAUGACUAAAACAACUGUAUUUCAAUGGCUUAAUUAUCUGUGAACAAUGUAAAUCUGAGGACACUCAGCCAGGACAGGUGGAAAGCUUGCUCUCCUAGAGCCUCAGCCUUCAGCAUUUGUUCCCCUCUCUGUGUGAACUUCUAACAGCUGUUCCCCAUUCCCCGCAUCCAGAGAGGAUCUGCUCACUCAUCUCUCGCCAGCAGUCAGCACCACCAUGCAGAGUCCCUCCAUCGUCACCUCUGCAGUCACCACAGCUGGACUGGAGGGCACAGAGGGCCAGAGGAAUCCUUCACAUGUGAACCUGAGAGCCACAGUGGCUGCAGCUGUGUUCAUAACACCAGUCUAUGUGUUGAUAAUCUUCCUCUGGUGGAAACAAAGGACAACAGAAUGAAGCCAAUACCCCAGUCAGGUGAACGACUGUCAUCCCAUGGCGCAGGCAAGGAGACGUUUGUUAUAAGAGGCAUGCAAGGGAGCUAAAGAGACAGUUGAGUAGAAAGCUCUUGUACAUGGGCAGGAUGACUUGAGUUUAAUUGGGAGCACACACAUUAUAAAUUUGUAGUCCCAGUUCUAGAAAAAUAAGUGACAGCCAGAGUCGUAGUGAUGUCUGUCCAGCUAGUCUAGCAUUAUUGUUGAGUUCCAGGCCAAUAAGAGACCAUGUCAUAAAAAAUAAUGUGGAUUCUUCAAGGGCAUGAAUCAUGGUCAUGGCAUUUUCUAAGUUCAUUUUAAAUAAAGCAUUUUAAAAAUACAUAUUGAUGAAUAAAAGAAAAGUGGGGAGCAAAGGGAUAGCUCUGUGGGAAAAGGGUCUGCAGCCAAGCCCAAUGACUUGAGUUCAUUUUGGGGACCCAAAUUGUGGCAGUAGAAAACUGACUACGGAAAACGGUCAUUUUCUUCUUAAGCACAGCACUAUCUGUUAGUCCCGAGCUAAGAGAACUCCAAUAGCCAGGAUCUCUCACCAGGGUGGUGAGUUUCCAUCAAAGUAGGGCUUGCUGACCACACACACUGCAUCUCACCGGCUUCCUUGUUUCCUGCCUGGGGAUCAGAGAGCAGGGCUGCAGGCCUGUGCUGUGAAACACACAUCCUUGGACAGGUACAAGGAGAGAACCCUCACAUCUGCUGUGUGAACUCUGAAUUCCUCUCCUCAGAACCCAGGUCAAUCUAUCUGUGUCUGGUCCUGAGAUCCCAACUCUGCUAUUUUCUAUCUGUCCAUGGAGUUAAUAACACUUUUUAGUAAAUGUCUUCCUCCCAA